UCCUGGCUCAGGACGAACGCUGGCGGCGUGCUUAACACAUGCAAGUCGAACGAGAAGAGAUGAGAAGCUUGCUUCUUAUUAAUUCGAGUGGCAAACGGGUGAGUAACGCGUAAGCAACCUGCCCUUCAGAUGGGGACAACACCUCGAAAGGGGUGCUAAUACCGAAUGACGUUUCCUGGUCGCAUGACCUGGAAACCAAAGGCCGGGCAACCGGUCGCUGAAGGAUGGGCCUGCGUCUGAUUAGCUAGUUGGUGGGGUAACGGCCCACCAAGGCGACGAUCAGUAGCCGGUCUGAGAGGAAGGUCCCCCACAUUGGAACUGAGACACGGUCCAAACUCCUACGGGAGGCAGCAGUGAGGAAUAUUGGUCAAUGGGCGAGAGCCUGAACCAGCCAAGUAGCGUGCAGGACGACGGCCCUAUGGGUUGUAAACUGCUUUUAUAAGGGAAUAAAGUGAGUCUCGUGAGACUUUUGCAUGUACCUUAUGAAUAAGGACCGGCUAAUUCCGUG
This 508-nucleotide ribosomal RNA is filed under the name uncultured bacterium. RNAcentral describes it as "bacterial SSU rRNA". It matches the Rfam family "Bacterial small subunit ribosomal RNA", at positions 17 to 507 of the family's 1533-position model. The record is from RNAcentral.